Molecule: long non-coding RNA, 733 nt
Organism: Megalobrama amblycephala (Wuchang bream)
Lineage: Eukaryota; Metazoa; Chordata; Actinopteri; Cypriniformes; Xenocyprididae
Exons: 2
Source: RefSeq, a predicted model, not a curated record
UCGUUCUGCUGUUAGUAUUUCAGUGCUAAGCUAGCCUAGUUAAUUGAGCUCUGGGCAAGUGAGUCUGUCGCUAGUCUUAGGUGAGAGGGCUGUGAUUUAAUUUCCACAUAUUUGAAAACUAAUCCGUGUUUUUUCAGGAUCUGAGUCAGAUCUGCUCUCAACUGAUGCGGAAAGACAGAUAAAGUGUUCUGCUGAAAGGAACGCGCCUCGAGCGUAAACGUGAAUAUGACAGGCCCAAGUAUGAGAUCAGAUGAGUGUUUCAGCGCCGCCUUGUGGACAAUAAGUGCAUCUGCAUUUCUAUAUGAAAACAGCAGCAGGAGGAAAGAGACUUAAAGCAAGUGGUGCUCAAUGCAGAGCCAAAAGACGUCCAGCUCCACCUCUGUGGAUCAAAUGGGUGGAGGGAGAGAGUAAUGGGCGGGGUUAGGGUGUGGUUAGACCUUCUAGCUCCACCCAUUACACCCAAAUUACAUCUAGAGAGGGAUCUGGACUUCACGCUCCACCCGUGGCUCUGCGGUGAACAGCUGCUCAAAUACAGUGUAAUCCUGCUCUGGCUGAGCCACUCUCCGGAGUUUAGCUCCAACCUCAUUUAAAACACCUGAAGCAGCUAAUCAAGGUCUUUGUGUUUACUAGAAACUUCCAGGCAGGUGUGAUUGACUGUUUGUUAUUAAAAUAAAAACACGUUACUUGAAUAAAUCAAUGUUUUUAUCAUAGUUAUGUGUAGCACAUACUCACA